UUUUAUCUGGGUUGCUAACUCAAUGGUAGAGUACUCGGC
This 39-nucleotide transfer RNA is filed under the name Chimonobambusa hejiangensis. Its description in RNAcentral is "partial tRNA-Lys". The record is from RNAcentral. RNAcentral also lists the same sequence under 1 other name. Lineage: Eukaryota; Viridiplantae; Streptophyta; Magnoliopsida; Poales; Poaceae.